UUGGCAACUAUGUCGUCAUGCACAAGUUCGUUCAAGACCUUCACUUUUUUGUUUCUGGAGGUGAAGAUGAAAAUGAGAUCAUCUUGGCCACAGUACUCCAGGGUUUUUUUUGAUGCAGUUGGAUUUCUCCUUAGAGGCAAUGAGGACAAGAAGGAAGGCAUUGGAGAACUUGGAUCUUAUUCUGUUGUGCCUUGAUGAGAUUGUCGAUGACCAUGUAUGCAUAUAAGAGAAGGCCCUGUAGUAAUAAUUACAAGGUUUUAAGCCCACAUCGCGCCUCAAUUGCUCCUCGACUGAGCCUCGCGCCUCAGAGCCUCGCUGCGCCUAGGCUACGUGCCUCGCUUCAGUGUUGAAAAAGCCCCGUCCGGUGAACCUCUGCGCUUUUGCGCCUCAGGCGCGCUUUUUACAACUAUGAAUGUAUUUACACCAAACCAGACCGAACAAGAGAAGCUCGACGACAAAUCUUUCUUCGCAUAUUGCUAUUGGAUGAGAAAAUAAUCGGCCUCAUUAAGGCUCUUUUAAUCCAAGAUAAAUCAUACCAAUCACGAUUAGUGCAAUUCCUAAUGCAAU
Molecule: long non-coding RNA, 567 nt
Organism: Hibiscus syriacus
Lineage: Eukaryota; Viridiplantae; Streptophyta; Magnoliopsida; Malvales; Malvaceae
Exons: 5
Source: RefSeq, a predicted model, not a curated record